GGAAAAAAUUGUUGCUUUGCAAAAUCUUGGAUGAAAUUUGUCCCCUGGGCUGGGAAUUUCAGAGAUCACGACAUAAUUUAUGCAUGCAACCUUGACAACAAGCGUCCCACGAGACCCAUCUAAAAUAAGUACCGUCAGAAAUUACAAUAAAUUUGCCUGUGUGCCUUUUCAAAUAUGCGAGGUCUUUGACGACCCAGCUGACGUUUACUAUAUGCAUGGAAUUCUCUCUCUACAGAGAUAUGCAAUGAACACGCGCUGCUCAAACAAAUAGAAGUACGUAGUAAUCCUGCCUUGGAUAACAAAGAUACAACUAUGAACGAAAGCUCUAUAUAAGGCACUUAAAAAGAAACGAGACUUGAAUGACCCGAUACUGUGGGAUGACUACAUGCAGAAGGCUCAGAAAGAAAGUAUUAACAAUGAUGAAAAAUGCUGUUACAAACAAACUGUUACAUAAACAUUUCUGUAGUGUACAUGCAGUUGCCUAUUUAUUGGCCCAGCAGAC
Molecule: non-coding RNA, 502 nt
Organism: Paramuricea clavata
Lineage: Eukaryota; Metazoa; Cnidaria; Anthozoa; Malacalcyonacea; Plexauridae
Source: the annotation of a GenBank genome assembly